Molecule: long non-coding RNA, 552 nt
Filed under: Crocodylus porosus (Australian saltwater crocodile)
Lineage: Eukaryota; Metazoa; Chordata; Crocodylia; Crocodylidae
Description: lncRNA (ENSCPRG00005017625.1)
Source: RNAcentral
AAAAGACCCAGGAUAAAUAUUUGCCUUAAAGCUGCAGACGAGCUGCCCACAACCACACCUUCGGAGGUCUGAAGACAGAAAUAUGUGCACUAUUCAGAGAUGUUAUCUCCGCUCAGAACGGUUUCCUCCUAAAUUAAACAGACUGGUGAAGAUAUGAGAAGCAUCUUGAGCCAAAUAUAUACAGAUUUGUACACAGAAGCCUUCUGAUCCCCGAGCAACCCACAGUAAAAUCUUGUCACAACGGAAUAAUAAACAUUUAUCAUAUUUUUCAACUUUCCAAAGUUCGUAGUGUACCAAGACAAUUGCAACUGGCUCUCUUCGUUUGUCUCUCAGAUGCAGAAAGCAACAGCACAAUAUUGUGCCAUAAUGAAUUCUUCAUCAUGAUUGAAAAAGUGCAAAAGGGAAACAUGUUUAAUAGGCUGAAAAAUAAGAAAGACCAGCUAAUGGAAGGCUGAAGUGAACAACUGAACUGCAUUCUGCCUCAUACCCAAAAAACAGUGCUGUUGAAGAGCUGUCCCAUUUCCUAAACAAGCUCAGUGCUUUGGAGGCAGG